UUUUCACCCGCACGAGGAGAGAGAAAUUUGAGGGUUUCCACCAUGGCUAGGCUCUCGGCUUGUUCGGCGGAGGAGGCGAGGACGUCCUUGGCAAAGCCGUCGAUCAAGAUCCCAGCUGAGUUGCGGCAUACACAAGCUAUUGAACCUUCAAAGGAAACAGGUUGCAACUGUGGGUCCGGGAGGAGCCUUCUAAAGAUGAGGCUAUUCCUUGCUUUCCAGAUUUCCCAAAGGACAACAGAGACUAACUCAAAUUCAGGGGAGUUGUUGCUGCUUUGGGUAUGAAUUUAAUCAGCCAUUCAUCAAAGCGGGAAGUUUGGUAUUUUGAGAUCUGGAUGUUGAGUGCAGGAACAUCCCAGACUUCUCUCGUCCACUUGCAUAGUAGGAAUAGAUGUUCUGUGGUUUCUGCAUGAACUCGGCAGAAUGGGCAAUUCAGAUCAGGUACCAGUUUCCUUAUGUACAAAUUUUCCUUCGUUGGUAGUGCGUUUUGGCAUACGCUUCAUACAAAGUUUCUGAUUUUGUGGGGAGUUUUCAUUCUCCAUAUCCUGUUCCAGAGUUUAGUAGGAGUUUGAUGAGAGGAGGAGGCAGGUUGAGUUUCUGUGUUUACCUUUUUUCGAAGAGUGUUGUAACCGCUCUUAACAGUGUAGUCGCCUUCCUUCGUGCCCAUCCAGAUCAGUUUGUCUUCAUUCAUUUGUGGUCCGAUAUGUACUGUGAGGAUCUCUCGUACUACCUGUUCAUCGAAUAGUCGUCGCAAAAGCGGUUCCUUCCAUGUGCUUUCCUCUUGGUCUAUCAAUUCAUCAACCUUUUUUGGGUCCCCCGCAUUAGCCGGUCCCCCUAUAAUUCCCUUUUGAGCCACUUAUCCUCCCUGAUGUUAAUAUUGUGCCCAUUCCCUACUGACCACAUGACUGAGUCUUCAAUUGAUGUGCGCCCCAUGAGUAUGCUCUGCCAUCCCCAAGAUGGUCUGGAUCCCUUCUCUGCCUUCCAGAAGCUCUUGGUUGGGUAGUAGAUACCCUUUAAAACUUGACUGCACAGAGUUGUAUGAUUUUGUGCUAAUUGCCAAGCUUGUUUACCCAGCAUGGCCUUGUUAAAAGAUAUUAAAUCCCUAAACCCAAGGCCUCCCCUGUCGUUUCUCUGUUUGAGAACUUCGGCCUUCCUCCAGUGCACUCCUUUUGUUGCUGGUUGGUUCUUCCACCAGAAGGCUGUGAUUUUUUUCUCAAUAGCUCGACAUACUGAAAGUGGAAUCUUGAAAAUUGACAUAGCAUAUUGUGGUAAUGCUUGGACAACAGUUUUGAUCAGAAUUUCUUUCCCCGCUUUAGACAUUGUGUUCUCUUUCCACCCUUCAAGCUUCAUAUUUACCCUUGCUAAGAUCCAAGCAAACAUUUGCUUUUUAGAUGCUCCCCAAUCAAAAGGAAUACCCAAGUACUUCCCUGUCUUUUCAAUCUCUGGGACUCUUAGUUCUCUAGCCAUAUUACUUCUUAAUUCACUAGGGCAGUCCUUGCUGAAAUAUAUCCCUGACUUGUUCAAGUUAACCGCUUGUCCUGAGGCAAAGCAAUACUGGUGAAUGAUUGCAGCUAGGUUCUGACAUUCUUGUAGCUUACCAUCGAGGAAAAA
Long non-coding RNA from Syzygium oleosum, 1608 nucleotides. RefSeq lists it as uncharacterized. NCBI's taxonomy places the organism in Eukaryota, Viridiplantae, Streptophyta, Magnoliopsida, Myrtales, Myrtaceae. The transcript has 2 exons. The record is from RefSeq and is a predicted model, not a curated record.